UACACUCCUACGGGAGGCAGCAGUGGGGAAUAUUGGACAAUGGGCGCAAGCCUGAUCCAGCCAUGCCGCGUGAGUGAUGAAGGCCCUAGGGUUGUAAAGCUCUUUCACCGGUGAAGAUAAUGACGGUAACCGGAGAAGAAGCCCCGGCUAACUUCGUGCCAGCAGCCGAGGUAAUACGAAGGGGGCUAGCGUUGUUCGGAUUUACUGGGCGUAAAGCGCACGUAGGCGGACUAUUAAGUCAGGGGUGAAAUCCCGGGGCUCAACCCCGGAACUGCCUUUGAUACUGGUAGUCUUGAGGUCGAGAGAGGUGAGUGGAAUUCCGAGUGUAGAGGUGAAAUUCGUAGAUAUUCGGAGGAACACCAGUGGCGAAGGCGGCUCACUGGCUCGAUACUGACGCUGAGGUGCGAAAGCGUGGGGAGCAAACAGGAUUAGAAACCCCAGUAGUCCCAUGAU
RNAcentral lists this ribosomal RNA (453 nucleotides) under uncultured organism. Its description in RNAcentral is "partial 16S ribosomal RNA". It matches the Rfam family "Bacterial small subunit ribosomal RNA", at positions 332 to 801 of the family's 1533-position model. The record is from RNAcentral.